RNAcentral lists this ribosomal RNA (301 nucleotides) under uncultured bacterium. RNAcentral's name for it is "partial 16S ribosomal RNA". It matches the Rfam family "Bacterial small subunit ribosomal RNA", at positions 509 to 807 of the family's 1533-position model. The record is from RNAcentral.
CAGUCGCCGCGGUAAUACGUAGGUGGCAAGCGUUGUCCGGAAUUAUUGGGCGUAAAGGGCUCGCAGGCGGUUUCUUAAGUCUGAUGUGAAAGCCCCGGGCUCAACCGGGGAGGGUCAUUGGAAACUGGGAAACUCGAGUGCAGAAGAGGAGAGUGGAAUUCCACGUGUAGCGGUGAAAUGCGUAGAGAUGUGGAGGAACACCAGUGGCGAAGGCGACUCUCUGGUCUGUAACUGACGCUGAGGAGCGAAAGCGUGGGGAGCGAACAGGAUUAGAUACCCCCGUAGUCCCUGUCUCUUAUAC